This 969-nucleotide long non-coding RNA is filed under the name Junco hyemalis (dark-eyed junco). RNAcentral describes it as "lncRNA (ENSJHYG00000010348.1)". The record is from RNAcentral. Lineage: Eukaryota; Metazoa; Chordata; Aves; Passeriformes; Passerellidae.
CCACAGGCAGAGCAAACCUGGCCUUGGCCCUGAUGCAGCUGAGAUCACCAGUUAAUUGCCUCAUUUUCUGGGCUUUUCAGAAGCCCAUCCUUCAUCCUGCCUCCUCCAACAGUCUGCAACCUCUACAGCAAGGAGAGAAUUUCCACCUCCCAAAAGAUGGGAUGGAGCACCAAGGGGAUCCAGAUCAGUUCUACAACAGCCAGGACAGAUGCCCAUUCCAAAGCAAUUACUGCAUGGGAGAUGCAAAGUGGCUGGAAGAACCUGCUCAUUCUGGGUCUGUAAUGGAGCCUGUGAGGAGCUCAGCUUGCUGGGGUGCCAGCAGGAGAACUUCCUUGUCAGCAACUGAGAGGAUCCUGAAGAGUUCCAAGAAAUGGAAAGCAAGCCUCAUCAGAAUGAUCCCUCAAAUGAAAAAACCUCCUGUUCAGGUGGUGUCUCUGCCUAAUAUUUGCAAGGCUAUUUUGGGCAGUUGUCCCCUGCUGAUGCAACCAUCCUCACCCAUUUCUCACCAAUGGGCUGAUGAUGACCUUAGGCUGAGUGUGGGAUGGUUUUUGGACGGCUGCAGUUGUGUGGACAGGUCCUGCUUUUAUCAGGAUGCAGGAGUGGUGCUCCAGGGGCAGCCAGGAGCCACUUGUGUAACUCUGACCUCUCAGAUUUGGAGGAUUUGGGAUUUCCAAGUGGUCUGAUGAAUCAGAACAGACUGACGCUUCCUGCCACCUCUCCGUCUGGGGCCAGCUUGAAAAGAGAAAAACAAGAAGGAUGGGACUUCAUGGAGCUGGACAAUUAGCCCCAAUAUGCAAAUGGAGCAGAACUUAUAAAAGUGAGAGACCCUGUGACCAGUCAUCUAUUUUGUGACCAUUUUGGGUCCAUCUUGGGUGUAGAGCCCUGGCUGGGCUCUUGUGCUGCCCAAGGUGGAUCCAUUGAAGAGAUCCUUUAAAUAAACCCCUGCUUUAUUUUUUAACUCUGUUUAGU